RNAcentral lists this transfer RNA (69 nucleotides) under Megaladapis edwardsi. Its description in RNAcentral is "tRNA-Asp". The record is from RNAcentral. Lineage: Eukaryota; Metazoa; Chordata; Mammalia; Primates; Lepilemuridae.
AAGGUACUAGUAAAAUUAUUACGUAACUUUGUCAAAGUUAAUUUAUAGGUUAAGUCCCUAUGUAUCUUU